Molecule: RNase P RNA, 432 nt
Filed under: Chloroflexota bacterium
Lineage: Bacteria; Bacillati; Chloroflexota
Description: Chloroflexi bacterium RNase P RNA component class A
Rfam family: Bacterial RNase P class A
About the family: Ribonuclease P (RNase P) is a ubiquitous endoribonuclease, found in archaea, bacteria and eukarya as well as chloroplasts and mitochondria. Its best characterised activity is the generation of mature 5'-ends of tRNAs by cleaving the 5'-leader elements of precursor-tRNAs.
Source: RNAcentral
CGAGGCGGACGUGCGACCGCUGCGAGGGCGGUUUUAGACCGUCUUUGUGGAGGAAAGUCCGAGCACCAACGGGCAGGAGCGCCUGCUAACGGCAGGGCGGGGCGACCCGACGGAAAGUGCAACAGAAAGAAUACCGCCUGUAGACGCGCAUUUAGUUGUGCGUUUCAUCAGGUAAGGGCGAACCGGUGCGGUAAGAGCGCACCGCGUCGGCGGUAACGUCGGCGGCAUUGAAAACCCCGCUCGGUGCAAGGCCAAAUAGGGGAGCGCCAAGACGAAUGCCCGCGUCAGCUCCCGGGUAGGCCGCUAGAGGUCACGGGCGACCGUGAUCGCAGAUGGAUGGUCGCACAGGGUCCGAUUCGAGGGAGGAAGGCCUAGGGGUUGUAAACCUCGCUGGGACCCGGACAGAACUCGGCUUACAGUCCGCCUCGCCGA